This 487-nucleotide ribosomal RNA is filed under the name uncultured bacterium. Its description in RNAcentral is "partial 16S ribosomal RNA". It matches the Rfam family "Bacterial small subunit ribosomal RNA", at positions 28 to 507 of the family's 1533-position model. The record is from RNAcentral.
GACGAACGCUGGCGGCGUGCUUAACACAUGCAAGUCGAACGGGCUCUGUCUGGCUGUGUGCUGGGUGGGGUUAGUGGCGAACGGGUGAGUAAUACGUGAGUAACCUGCCCUCUUCUUUGGGAUAAGCCUUGGAAACGGGGUCUAAUACUGGAUAUUCCUGUCUGGUCGCAUGGCUGGGUGGGGAAAGUUUUUUUCGGUGGGGGAUGGGCUCGCGGCCUAUCCGCUUGUUGGUGGGGUGAUGGCCUACCAAGGCGUCGACGGGUAGCCGGCCUGAGAGGGUGACCGGCGACACUGGGACUGAGAUACGGCCCAGACUCCUACGGGAGGCAGGAGUGGGGGAUAUUGCACAAUGGGCGCAAGCCUGAUGCAGCGACGCCGCGUGGGGGAUGACGGCUUUCGGGUUGUAAACCUCUUUCGUCGGGGGACAAGGCUCUGCUUGGUGGUGGGGUUGAGGGUACCCGGUGAAGAAGCGCCGGCUAACUACGUG